This 68-nucleotide transfer RNA is filed under the name Callopistes maculatus. RNAcentral describes it as "tRNA-Val". It matches the Rfam family "tRNA". Rfam says of the family: Transfer RNA (tRNA) molecules are approximately 80 nucleotides in length. Their secondary structure includes four short double-helical elements and three loops (D, anti-codon, and T loops). The record is from RNAcentral. Lineage: Eukaryota; Metazoa; Chordata; Lepidosauria; Squamata; Teiidae.
CAAAAAGUAGCUUACCCACCAAAGCAUCUGGCUUACAACCAGAAGUCGUUGCACACCAACCUUUUUGA